RNAcentral lists this ribosomal RNA (253 nucleotides) under uncultured bacterium. Its description in RNAcentral is "partial 16S ribosomal RNA". It matches the Rfam family "Bacterial small subunit ribosomal RNA", at positions 524 to 776 of the family's 1533-position model. The record is from RNAcentral.
UACGUAGGGGGCAAGCGUUGUCCGGAUUUAUUGGGCGUAAAGAGCGUGUAGGCGGCCAGGUAGGUCUGCUGUGAAAACUCGAGGCUUAACCUCGAGCUGUCGGCGGAAACCAUCUGGCUAGAGUCCGGAAGAGGAGAAUGGAAUUCCCGGUGUAGCGGUGAAAUGCGCGGAUAUCGGGAAGAACACCCGUGGCGAAGGCGGUUCUCUGGGACGGUACUGACGCUGAGACGCGAAAGCGUGGGGAGCGAACAGG